CCUACGGGAGGCAGCAGUGAGGAAUAUUGGUCAAUGGACGAGAGUCUGAACUAGCCAAGUAGCGUGAAGGAUGACUGCCCUAUGGGUUGUAAACUUCUUUUAUAUGGGAAUAAAAUGUUCCACGUGUGGGAUUUUGUAUGUACCAUAUGAAUAAGGAUCGGCUAACUCCGUGCCAGCAGCCGCGGUAAUACGGAGGAUCCGAGCGUUAUCCGGAUUUAUUGGGUUUAAAGGGAGCGUAGGUGGAUUGUUAAGUCAGUUGUGAAAGUUUGCGGCUCAACCGUAAAAUUGCAGUUGAAACUGGCAGUCUUGAGUACAGUAGAGGUGGGCGGAAUUCGUGGUGUAGCGGUGAAAUGCUUAGAUAUCACGAAGAACUCCGAUUGCGAAGGCAGUUCACUGGACUGCAACUGACACUGAGGCUCGAAAGUGUGGGUAUCAAACAGGAUUAGAUACCCGAGUAGUC
Molecule: ribosomal RNA, 460 nt
Filed under: uncultured bacterium
Lineage: Bacteria
Description: partial 16S ribosomal RNA
Rfam family: Bacterial small subunit ribosomal RNA
Source: RNAcentral